Molecule: ribosomal RNA, 201 nt
Filed under: uncultured bacterium
Lineage: Bacteria
Description: partial 16S ribosomal RNA
Rfam family: Bacterial small subunit ribosomal RNA
Source: RNAcentral
GCAGCCUGNAACCCGGCUGCGUGAAGCUGGAAUCGCUAGUAAUCGCGGACCAGAAUGCCGCGGUGAAUACGUUCCCGGGUCUUGUACACACCGCCCGUCACACCAUGGGAGCCGGAAACGCCCGAAGCCAGUGGCCUGACCGCGAGGAGGGAGCUGUCGAAGGCGGGUCCGGUGACCGGGGUGAAGUCGUAACAAGGUAUC